UACGGGGGGGGCAAGCGUUGUUCGGAAUUACUGGGCGUAAAGCGCGCGUAGGCGGCCCUUCAAGUCGGGCGUGAAAGCUCCGGGCUUAACCCGGAAAUUGCGUUCGAUACUGUCGGGCUAGAGUGUGGAAGGGGCUACCGGAAUUCCGUGUGUAGCGGUGAAAUGCGCAGAUAUCAGGAAGAACACCAAUGGCGAAGGCAGCUCUCUGGGACGGUACUGACACUGAGACGCGAAAGCGUGGGGAGCGAACAGG
Molecule: ribosomal RNA, 253 nt
Filed under: uncultured bacterium
Lineage: Bacteria
Description: partial 16S ribosomal RNA
Rfam family: Bacterial small subunit ribosomal RNA
Source: RNAcentral